CCUACGGGUGGCUGCAGUGGGGAAUAUUGGGCAAUGGGCGCAAGCCUGACCCAGCAACGCCGCGUGAAGGAAGAAGGCUUUCGGGUUGUAAACUUCUUUUCUGAGGGACGAAGAAAGUGAUGGUACCUCAGGAAUAAGACACGGCUAACUAAGUGCCAGCAGCCGCGGUAAUACGUAGGUGGCAAGCGUUAUACGGAUUUAUGGGGUGUAGAGGGCGUGUAGGCGGGGAAGCAAGUCAGAUGUGAAAACUCAGGGCUCAACCCUGAGCCUGCAUUUGAAACUGUUUUUCUAGAGUGCUGGAGAGGCGAGCGGAAUUCCGUGUGUAGCGGUGAAAUGCGUAGAUAUACGGAGGAACACCAGUGGCGAAGGCGGAUUGCUGGACAGUAACUGACGCUGAGGCGCGAAAGCGUGGGGAGCAAACAGGAUUAGAUACCCGUGUAGUC
RNAcentral lists this ribosomal RNA (443 nucleotides) under uncultured bacterium. RNAcentral's name for it is "partial 16S ribosomal RNA". It matches the Rfam family "Bacterial small subunit ribosomal RNA", at positions 338 to 795 of the family's 1533-position model. The record is from RNAcentral.